CUCGGGUUAGUAGAAUAAAAAUAACAGCUUUGGGGGCUGUAGAAGGGGUCUAUCACUAGGCUUCACUCGUGA
RNAcentral lists this transfer RNA (72 nucleotides) under Phallusia mammillata. RNAcentral's name for it is "transfer RNA-Pro". The record is from RNAcentral. Lineage: Eukaryota; Metazoa; Chordata; Ascidiacea; Phlebobranchia; Ascidiidae.